RNAcentral lists this ribosomal RNA (763 nucleotides) under uncultured beta proteobacterium. RNAcentral's name for it is "bacterial SSU rRNA". It matches the Rfam family "Bacterial small subunit ribosomal RNA", at positions 8 to 760 of the family's 1533-position model. The record is from RNAcentral. Lineage: Bacteria; Pseudomonadati; Pseudomonadota; Betaproteobacteria.
AGAGUUUUGAUCCUGGCUCAGAUUGAACGCUGGCGGCAUGCUUUACACAUGCAAGUCGAGCGGCAGCGCGGGGGCAACCCUGGCGGCGAGCGGCGAACGGGUGAGUAAUACAUCGGAACGUAUCCCGUAGAGGGGGAUAGCCCGGCGAAAGCCGGAUUAAUACCGCAUAUGCUCUACGGAGGAAAGCAGGGGACUCGCAAGGGCCUUGCGCUAUGGGAGCGGCCGAUGUCCGAUUAGUUUGUUGGCGGGGUAAUGGCCCACCAAGGCGACGAUCGGUAGCUGGUCUGAGAGGAUGAUCAGCCACACUGGGACUGAGACACGGCCCAGACUCCUACGGGAGGCAGCAGUGGGGAAUUUUGGACAAUGGGGGAAACCCUGAUCCAGCCAUGCCGCGUGAGUGAAGAAGGCCUUCGGGUUGUAAAGCUCUUUUGGUCGGAAAGAAGAAGUUUGGGUGAAUAACCUGGAUUUUUGACGGUACCGGCAGAAUAAGCACCGGCUAACUACGUGCCAGCAGCCGCGGUAAUACGUAGGGUGCGAGCGUUAAUCGGAAUUACUGGGCGUAAAGAGUGCGUAGGCGGUUCUCCAAGUCCGUUGUGAAAUCCCCGGGCUCAACCUGGGAAUGGCAGUGGAAACUAGGGGACUUGAAUCUGGCAGAGGGGGGUGGAAUUCCACGGUGUAGCAGUGAAAUGCGUAGAGAAUGUGGAGGAACACCGAUGGCCGAAAGGCAGCCCCUGGGCUGAGAUUGACGGCUCAGCACGAAAAG